CCGACGGUGAGAGGUGAAAGCUGGGGGAGCAAACCGGAUUAGAUACCCGGGUAGUCCCAGCCGUAAACGAUGUGCGUUAGGUGUAUCGGUGGCCACGAGUCACCGAGGUGCCGAAGAGAAAUCGUGAAACGUACCGCCUGGGAAGUACGGUCGCAAGGCUGAAACUUAAAGGAAUUGGCGGGGGAGCACCACAACAGGUGGAGCCUGCGGUUUAAUCGGACUCAACGCCGGGAAACUCACCAGAUAAGACAGCUGAAUGAUAGUCGGGCUGAAGACUCUACUUGACUAGCUGAGAGGAGGUGCAUGGCCGUCGUCAGUUCGUACUGUGAAGCACCCUGUUAAGUC
Molecule: ribosomal RNA, 345 nt
Filed under: uncultured archaeon
Lineage: Archaea
Description: bacterial SSU rRNA
Rfam family: Archaeal small subunit ribosomal RNA
Source: RNAcentral